AAAGAGAGAGAGAGAGACAGGUAAAGGAACAGGUGUAGCAGCAGAAUCGUUUCUUCAGGACACUGACAUAGAGCCGUCAUGCGCAUGCACAUGCAAUUCAGGCCAGUAAGAGUGGUCACGCUCGGCAGUGAUUCUAAGACUCUCCUUUCUGAGUCAUCCAGGUAACAGAGUUUUCAGUGGAAAUCGUGUAUUUUUUUUCGUUAUGCAAAUCUUUGUGAAAACCAAAGGGAUUUCCUCCAAUACUAACACAGAUAUAGAACAACUUAGAGGCCACUGUGAAACACACUGCACAGAUCUGUGACGGUUGAGUCCACUGGUUGUAGAGAGUUAACUGUACUUAGGUGUACCCACUCCAGGAUCUAAUAAGAUGUAUUAAGUCUCAACAUUGGUUUUCAGUCUUUCCCUGUCUCUGCCAGGGCGUUAUCAAUAACUUCUCAGUGCCUUCAGUGGUGGCUUUCCCCAAUCAUUUUUCAUUUUGCUUCGAAUGCAGACCAUCAAAAUUCAAGGCGCUUAGAGUGUUUUUUUGCAGCGGUUAUGAGCAGGCUUGAUGGAUGUGAGCUUCUUGCUAAGCUGUGUGAAUGAGAACUCCUGUUUGGAGCCACCCACGUGAUUCAGUGUUAUUGGGCUUGGGAAGCUCAAUGUUACCAAGUCACAUUAUUUAUUCCUUGAAAUACGUGUAUGUCACAAAUAUGUUAAUGAGCUUCCUCUGUGUGUGCUCUAUAUACAGCUACCCUGGGGAUGGGUUUUUAGAACUCUCUAAUUCAACACAUAACCUAAAUGGAAAUAUUUUUGACCAAUAUUUCCAGCUGAAUUUUUUUUCAGAAGACCCUUUAUAGAAUUGUAGUCAUUUUUCUGACCUAGAAGCACUAAGCUGGUCAGAUUGGAUACCCAUUUUCUGGGACAAUGUAUGACCAUUGGAAAAGUUGAACAAAACAAUCAUGGAGUGUCUCAAAGCCAUACCCUGUUUCCUGGUGGUUAGAGUUGAUAAUAUCAUUGUGAAGGCCUAAGUUUGUUUCUCAGUUAAGUAACCCAAACAAAAAUCACAAGCUACAUGAUAAAAUUCAAAGCCAAGAGAAAAAUUGAAGCAGAAAGCUAUUGCUGAUUUAAUGGUAAGACUACUGACCACUCUAACAUGAAGUCACAGAGAGUCCUAUACCUGAAAGCUAAGAAACAACAGUGGGUUCCAAUUGAAUGUCCUAUACUAGUUUUACUAUUUAGCAGUGACUAGAUCUGUGCACUGUUCACUAAGCGCUACUAUGUGAGACGCAUUGUGCCAGGUGGCUUUAAGAAGCCUAGAGGCUAUGCUUGAGUGGCAGGAAGUGGUUUUUACUAUGGCACUACAUUUUCAAUAUGGGACAAUGGGAUGAAAUUCUAGAAUUCAUCGCCUGGGAGUCCACCCCAACAAGCUUGGAAAAAAAAAAAAAGGGAUGCUGUGGUUACAGUAAGGGCAACGGUGAUUUCAAGAACUACAUAGCAACACUUGCUUGCAAAUGGUAGGGAAAUGCAGAGCUCUGCUGCCUGAAAGGGACUGGAAAUGUAAAGGAAUUGAGUGAGUGCCAGAGGGAAAGUUCAGUGGUGUGAAUGGAGAAGGGAACAGAAACUGAAUACUUGGAUGGACGAGCAGAUUCUCAUUGAUCUCUUCAACCAUGAGCCAGGGUGGCUGGUGAGUGACGAGUGGUAGUGGGAGAGGCAGAGGGGAGAACUAUGGAGACAUUUUUACUAGCUGUCAGGCCUGGUAUACGGUUUUUGUUUACCAUACCUCAGAAUUUAGCAUGCUCUUGGCUCAUAGUAAGUUUGGCUCCCCCCAGCCCCCAAUGAAUAAAAUUAGUUAAACCUCUUCACUUUUGUUGAACUUGCCAAGGAUGUCCCUAGGGCCGUACACAGAAAACACCAUUGCGUAGCCCGUGUGGUGGGUGGAUGACAGAGGGAGAAAGGGAAGGAUAAGACACCAUUGUGUUCUUUCAGAAUGACUAGGGUAUCUUUGGGAUAUGUUCACUUUCCAAUGAAAGGAGUCCAUAUAUGUAUAGUAUGUGCAGUUCAAAAAGUCCCAAGAGCCUUGACCCACUUACUCUUUUGGAAGAGGUGAACAUUAUUUCUAAAACAAUAAGAAAAGUAAACCAUAUUGUAAAAAAACAGUGCUUGAAAGAAAAAAAAAACAAGACAGAUCCUAAGCUAUUGAGUGAUUUUUUUUUUUUUAAUAACCCAAGCUAAGAUGUUUGCCAACUUCAACACUAAGAAGGUAUUUAAGGAGUUCUGCUCAAAUUUAUUUCGUUGGUCCAGUCCCUAACCAUUCCGAUUGCCAAAGACAUUCACCUCACAAGACAGUUUGUUUGGGGGCAAACUUACUUGUUUUGUACCAAAUUUUCCUCAGUUGCUUUGUUAAGCGAUGGGCUUCAUUAAGUAAUCCAUUACAUUGAAAUGAAGCAUCUUGUAUCGUUUAAACAUUUAUUGAAACACUGUGUUGUGUGUGGGCGGUUUAUGGUUAUGCUAGAAGAGCCAUGUUUCUGCUUUCAAAUCAAAGGGAAGGAUGUAAGACUUGGAGCUGUGGCUGCAGGGAUGGCCCAUUUACAGGAUUUUGGACAAUGACAGUUUUUGUAAGAAGAUCCCAUGCUCCUGCUGGCUGGGUGGCAUUUUGGGGGGGGGGCAGAAGCUGGCUUUACUGAUAAGGUUGAGAAGUGACCAUUUGUUUCCUUCUCUCACACGAUUGUCUUAAGAAUAGAAGUCUAAUUCCAUCUGUUCGUCUUUCUGUUCUCUGGCCUUGAGUGUUCAUGAUGUGAGGCCAGUCAUAAUGAGUUUGGGGAGGUUCCACCAGGAAAGAGUGCAUUGUUCAUCAGCUUUGGGGUGGUGUGUGUGUAUAUGUGUGUAACUAUGUGUGUGUGAGAGUGUGUGUGUGUAUGUGUGUAUAGUCAGGACAGAAGUUGGUGUUGGAGUUUUCCUUGAUCACUUUCACUCCUUGAGUUAGCUAGACUGGCUGGCCAGUAAGCCCCAGGGAUCCUCCUGUCCCCUCUUUCCCAACACUGUAUAGGUUUACACCACCCACCAUGCUUGGUUUUUCUUUUUCUAAGUGUGGGCGCUGGGUAUCCAGUAAGCACUUUACUGAGCCUUCUCCCCAGCCCCCAUCUGAACCACCCUGGAGUGAGCGCUCCUCUUACACUUUUUCUUAUAGCACAGCUUGGCACUUGAUGGGGACAGGGUGAAGAUUUGGAGAUCAUGACUGACUGCGUGCGUGAGUCUAACAGACGGGAGUAUGCCUCUGAAGGAAAUGGCAAGGCAACGACAGGCCAGAAGCUCACACCCUCCUCUGAAUGUUCAUGCUAGACAGCAAUUGCAGGAUGCAGUGUUUUAGGUGCAGGGCAGGAUGUUAACAGGGAUAUGGACAUAAAGAUUGCUACUUUCUGGAAGGCUUUCUUGUUAGGACAGAGUCAGGCGAGCCGUGACAACAGCAGGUAAAUGCUCACAUAAGGUCUGCUAGGAGAGUGGCAGGGACACCUGGAGUCCUAGCCUAGAGUUGGUGUGUGCGCACGCGUGCGCAUGAGACAGAGAGAGGGGGUUGGGGGUGGGGCGUGAUUCUAGAACACGGGAAGUUGGGAAGUUGCAGAUCUGACACUCCAGGAAUAGGAAUGGAUGCCUACAAAGAAAGCAAGCCGGGACAAGUGCUGCUAUUUAGAAAAUGAAGUGUCACCCACCCUUUGUCACAAGCAACCAGUGACUUGUUUUGACCUGAUCAAAUGAGGAAACGACCUAGAGAACCUUUAGUUGUAUGAAACUGUGGUGUUUACAAGACUAGAUGUGAUAUUUUAUUUUCUACAGUGGCCUCUGAACUACAUCACUAGCAACAGGUAAGGCGAGGAAAAGAAGGGGCUGAAGAAGGCGGAGAGAAGUAGACUUAAGAACAGAGCCUGAGAAAACAGGGCUAGGGCAUUUUGCAGCAUAUCGCCACUGAAUUAAGUUAGGUGGCAUGGCAUUCCUUACAGUAAAUUUAUCCCCCCCAUCCUCCUCUUUCUCCUAUUCCUUAGAAUCUUCUCCUCCCCCCUUUGGGACUUUGUACUGUAGAGCCCACUCCCAUUAAUAGUAGGGACUAAAAAUCUUCCUUCUGACUCUGUCUCCUCUUCCCUUCUCUUCCGGGCCCUCAUCUCCCUCCCACCUCAGGCUCCAGGAGAGGGAGGACCUGACUUUAACAUCCAAAGGAAGGAAGUGAGGUUCUGAAGGAGGUGCCCAGAAGCAGCUAUCCCAAGUGGAGGUUUCUACUUCCAGGGUAUGCAAUCCCCUGUCUCUGAAGUCAUGGAAAAGAAAGGGCAGGAGCAAGGAAGGAAAAGACAGCAGUCUGCACCUUCACUCACUUCCGCUUUAAGAAAGAUGAGAGAGAGAGAGCUUCUUGCCUUCCAGGCAUUGGUAUAGGACAAGGAAGGGGGUACUUUCAGAGAGAGUAACUGUGUAACUGGUUCAGAGAGGGUAGCUGUGAGCAGGCAAAUUCUUUUUGAAAAAUUGCUUUACCGUUACAAAAUAAAUGCACAGAGUCUGAAGAUUUAGAAAGGACAAGGCUGUAGCAAUAUUUCCCUCCUGCCAAACGACACCUGCUGAGUCAAAGGCCAGUUUUAAGUGCACCACACAGUACUUUUUUGCCCUUUCAAUGGCAAAAAUUGGAGACAAAGAAUUGCAGUGUACUGUUGGCUUACACAACAGUAUUCUCAAAAACAUCCAGCAGGGGGAGCUCUAAUAUACCUUUGAAGCUCAACAUUUAAAAAAACCAAAACAAAAGAAAAAAACAAAACAAAACAAAACAGAGGGGCAUUGUUUUUGAGCUGCCAUGCCAGUGAACAAAUACGUGAGGAGGAAGACCAGUUACAUGCUCAGAGGCCAAGCGACAGCACUUGGGGGAGGAGGGACACGUGCAGUGUCCCACAGUGUCUCCUUGCCAUGAGCCUGUAGCUGUGAAGCAGUUAAACAGGCAGGGCUGGGGCUCUCGCAAGAGAAGGGAGCGAAGCUGACUUCUGGGCAAGCCUAGAAGUUAUUCUUUCCUUCUGAAAGGAUCUUAUUGUUUCUAGAGCAGCCUUGAACACUGGCUCAGAAACCACAUUUUAAAACAGAAUUUUCAUUGUUGGUUGAAGGAGCUACCGAAAUGCCAAAUGGCUAAGUCCCUUACUCAGUGGCUUGUUGGGUGGUUUUCUCUUCUCCUUCAAGUCAGAAAAAUGCUGUGUUUGUAAAAAUUGGUGCUAAAAGGGCAAGAAAUCAUAGGUCCUCUGGGCCAUGUAAAGAAGGAAUUAGAGCUUUCAAACACACAAGCUCGCGCGUGCACGUGUACGCACGCACGCACGCACGCACGCACGCACGCACGCACGCACGCACAAUGAACAAUUUACUCAAGAAAACAGUGAGGAGUUUAUAGACUGAGAGCUACCCUGUAUUCUGGGCAGUGUUUGGAGGUGGGUGAGCGGACGUUCAACAUGAUAGAACAACUUCACCUGAAGGAAAGCACCCAGUGACCCGACCCCUUCUAUUCUCUUGCCAAUAUGAAGGCAAAGUUUUUGUUUUACACCUUGAUGGUAUGCCCACAUCUAAAAGUUUUAUACAAGCUCCUGCACAAACUUUAACUAGACCAGUUCAGACCAAGAGGCACUAAAUAGAGCCAGUCUAGACAGAAAAUGUAUGGAAACCAUAUGUCCUUUGGGCGUCUGUCUUACAAAGACUGCCAUUGCCCUGGAGAAAUCCUUCACAAAAUAUGCUCUUAGGAAAAAAAGAGAGCACACAGGGAGAAGAGUGCUUAAGAUGACGGCUGGGCUCGGAGAAAAUAGGGGCGAAGUGUUUAUAAAUGCGAGGCUCUGGUUUCCCUGCACAUCUGUAAGUAAACGGUUUGAAAGGAUGGGCCAAGGUAGAUAACAUUUAUAUUCCCAUUGUUCUUUCAGGCCUCCACAGAACGUUAGGCAGAGGGAUCUCCAAGCCACUCUGCUCUCACCCGCAGAGAGCUGUUUUGAGUAAGGCUGUACGUGGAGGAGGCCAGAGAACUAGAACAUUCUCUUCUGAUUAUUACCUCAUCCUGCUGGCCUGCCAAACACAGCUAGAAGGCAGGUGUCCACCAUAAGUAACUAGCGAAAGGCUGCUCUAGAGAAUGGUGUGUGGGACUAGAGAGAGAAAGGGAGGGGGGCUCCAAGGGGGUUGCAGUAAAAGGGGUGCUCCUAAGCCCCCGUUUUUUCCAAUUUAACCUUGCCUUCUGAACAAGAGACACGACUAUUCUGUCUUCCCUAGUCUCAUCAUUACACUUGAAGAUAUGCUUUAAUUUUAACCAAUAGUAUUAUAGAUUCUGCAGAGGGAAAAAGUAAAAUAUGCAAAUUACCAUGACCCCCUCCCCCAGCAUAUUAAAUGAAAACUGCCAAGGGCCAGGGAGAGCAUGAAGCAUGUGGACACUGCCGAGGUUCCUUGUGGCUCUUGACACUUUUACUGAAAUUCCCCACUCUGCAGGGAAGGGGACUAGGAAACAGAACAGUAGGAUUGAUAAGUAGUACCAGCAGGAGUGCCUCCAGGUACUGUCCCCUCACCUAGAAGACUGAAUUAACAGUAUGUGCCAGAUAGACUCACAGAGAAAGGGUCUUGAGUGAAAAGAGCAAAAGCAGUAAGAUUGUGCUUUUAAGAAAACUCGAGAACCCUCAAUAUGCUUGUUCAAAGACAGUCACGUUUUAAAGGUUAAAGAUUCUUAUACUGGCUUUCAAGUAUUAAAUAGUAAGAUGUGGAUAGGGUCAUUUAGAGUUUUGGAAGUAUUAAGGCAGCUUAAUUAUACUGCAGGGCAGAACGCUAACCACUGCACGUCCCUGGACAAACAGUCAUAUCAACAUCUACUCACUAUGGAUGCCUGAACUGAACCGAGAGCGUUUGGCUGGGUUAGUUGAAGUCUCCUGGUGAAGUUACGGGGUUUUUCCUCCAGUGCUCCUGUUUAUUGGUGGUUCUGAACCUUUCAGCUGGUUUUCAUGCUAAUGGCUUGUGGUGCUUGGGUUUUAUUUUGGUGUCAGGCUUGGAUAUGUGGGGGGAAAGUCCUGCCAUGGUUUGUCUAGUGAACACACCCACUAAUAUCGCCUCAGUUUUUCACCUCAAAGCCAAUAAUUAAGAUAUUGUAGAACUUGUCUGACAUGAGGGUUUAUCAUUUUAGUUAUUAAAGUAGUUUCCAACACUAUAGGGAGUGUUUUUAAAAAACCAGUGGAUGUUUGGCUUAGAUCUUUUUACAGCCUUUCCUCGUGGAUGCAACCGUAGUGGCAGAGAGUAGGCACAUCUUGCGGCGUAGGACCUGGGGCAUGAGGCGUAAAGGAAGGUUUAUCUGAAGGAAAUUCAUUCAGUCCUAAAAUUAUCUCCAGGACCACACUGUGAACCUGAAAGGAUACACAUGGUCCAGAAUUUGUCUUGUGUAAGUAUUCUUUGUCGAGCAAGCCACCCGCAGGAUUAUAAAAUGCCCUGUAAGUGUUCCCCCUGGACAAUAUAGUAUACAUCUGUAACUGAACGGUUGGGGAGGUUAGGAACUCAAGGCCGGACGUGGCUAUAAAGUAAGUUCAGGGACACAGUAGACUGUGCAAGACUUUGAUUCAAAAACAACCAAACAAAAUAGCCAAAUAAUCCAGAUAAGGGCCUGCGAAUUAAUGUGAGACUGAAGUUUGCAGAUGAAAGAGAUGUUUCCAUGGUGUUGCUUCAGAAUCUCUAAAACCAAAUUUGAAUGAGUACACGACGGAGGCAGGAGGGAUAUUUGGUUGCAGACGAAUGUCAUUUUCCCACUUAUACUAAAAGCCAUCUGAGGCUUUCUCACACUGUGCACCUUUUUGGGGGUGGAGAUGAAUCAGGAUCACACUGUACCUCAUGAUGGCCUGAACUCAACUUUGUAGCCAAGCCUGGCCUUGAAUUCGUGAUCCUUCUGCCUCUACCCCCCAAGUUUAUGGGGCUGGAGGUCCACCUUCAUGUUAGCUCAUCGAGGUUUUCAGGCUUCCCCUGAAGCUUUGGAUAGGUUUGCAGUAGAGUAUCUAGGCUCUUCGCUUUCCCCUCUCUCGGUUACUGUGUUAGCCUUCCCAUCGAAGCAUCCGGAAAGGGUGCUGCCUAGGGGUGACUCACACGUUGACCUGUGUGUUUAUGGGGUUCCCAUAAGAGCAGUGAGAAGAGUAAUUAUACCUUGUCUCAUUUUCUGGUGCUUAGAUCAUUCCCUGUGUGGGCCAUUUCCUCUCUCUGAGCAAUGGAAACCAGGAGGCCCCACUACCACCGAUGCUGAGACGGAGAAUCUGGCUAAUUGCCAUUUUGAUUACCGCUCCCCCUACCUUCUCCCCCCCACCCCCCUCGAAUGGAACAGGUUCAUGUGGUUCAUGCGAACUGAUUAUUUUGACUGAAAAACAAAGAGUGGAUAUUUCUCAGUGCUUGUUGGGCAAUGCUUAAAAAUAAGGAACUAGAGCACUCCGCAUUCAGUGUUCGUGGUUUUGCCUGUCGUGGCUCCGAUACUUAAAGAGCAGUCAGUCGCAAAGAAUGAGCCCGUGGCUCAGGGAGAGUUCCUGAAUACCUCAUGGCUUUCGACAUUGCCCUAGGCUGGAGUUCUGUUUUGGGCUAGAGUUGCCAUGUGAUCUAAA
This 8585-nucleotide small RNA is filed under the name Rattus norvegicus (Norway rat). Its description in RNAcentral is "uncharacterized LOC102554129". Lineage: Eukaryota; Metazoa; Chordata; Mammalia; Rodentia; Muridae. The record is from RNAcentral.